UUUAAUUUGCGCAUUCUAUUCAAUAGCUCAAAAACGCGAGCGUCGAGAAUCUCGAUGUCGUCGGGAAUGCCAUGUACAAAAUGCCUUGUGAUUGACAUAUUCCGUGUUGUGUGUUAUAAACGAGUAACAACGAAACAGUAACGAGGAACCAGAGAAGAGGAAAAGACGAAGGAAAAGUAGGAAGAGAAGGUCCCGUGAUGGCAUCCUAUUGGUGAGUGUUAAAUUAUCAUAAAAAUAACAAAACUGAGUAGCGUGGAAAUAUUCGCUAUUUUUUUCUUUUUUAAAUGCGUUAAAAGAGAGCUUAUUGCCUUUCAUGCUUUGCGCCCCUUCAAAAAUUUAUUUUUUUUUUAAUAAAGAGGUAGCUACUUCUUUCUGGGCUUAUUUUGAAAAUAGAGAACGGGACUCUACACAAAAAAAUCACUCUUUUGAGUUCCAUCCCUUGAUCUGUAUAUCUCGUCAAAUAUUCAUAAUAUGAUGGAGAAGUAAAAAGUAUACGUGCAUACAUUUUCCAUAAAAAUUAGCGAGUUCUCUUUGCGUUUAAUUUAAAGGUCAAUAUAAGAGCUAUUAAAAAAAAAUUGCUUCUUGAUUUAAAAAUAAUGGAUUUUGAAAUUUUAACAAUAGAUUUUUUCAAAAUUCGUGACCCUAAAAAUUUUUCAUAAGACAUGAAUUGGAUGGCAAAUUAUUUCAAGAAAAUAAAUCAGCACGAAAGAAUUAAGUUAGAUUUCAGACAUAGAUCUGAGAGAUACGGAAUUUACAAACAUAACUUAGCAGUGCUUGGAAGCGUUGGAAUUAUCGACCUUUAUCUUUCGCGUUUGCGAGAGGAAUCUCUGGUACGCCGACUACGCAUAGUUGGCUCGAGUUUGCAGCUCGCUCGCUCAUAGCAAGCGAGCAUCGUAUCGUAUUUUGGAGCGCGAGUAAGUAUCCACGCGCGUAAACAGGUUCUACUGAACCAACGAGACGAAAUCGUUACUUCGUGAUCGGAAGUAUUCGGAAGUAUCGACAAACGCAUCAAUUUCCGCCUCAACUUGCACCGCAUCGCUCGCGCACUUUUCUCCAAAUCAGUCGGGACGUAGGUACGAAACUUUGUGCAAUCCCGCUAGCGUCUGGCAACCGUAGGAAGGAAAUUUAAGAGUAGCAGCAGAGGGGCCUUGCUCGGCUUGGAUUUACUCAAAUAAUGCAUGAUUAUAAUGGCGAAUUCAACCAAGCCGUAGUUAAGCACGUACGAUCUAUCGUAACAUAAAGUCCUUACUAUGUAACUUUAAUCGCGUUUAAAAUUGAUCAUUGAUAAGCCCGAGCUCGGUCGGCGUGACAGUUUAACUUAAUCCGCGUUCUUGAAGCGAAAAUCACGUGGGAAAGUACAUUUUUGUUUAUGGGCAAUGAAUCGCACGACAUUUUACGGACUGCUUGUUAAUACGGAUAAUUGUUUCGUUCGCACGAUAAACGGUGGGAAAAGUCGCGGUCGAUGGGUUUACGGCUGACCCGGCAAUUUCCGACGGCUAAAACUUCAAGCGCCGACGAGACUGCAAAGUUUUGUUAUUUAUAGGCCACAACCUGAGUUCUCUUCUGGGGUGCGUUCACCGCGCGAUCGCAGCCAGAUUCCAGCGUUUAUUAUGUUACGCGACGCGUGGUACUAUGUUAUGCGAAGAAAUUCGCUCAACUGAAUUUACUCACGCAUGUGGGCCGCGUAUCGAUGCUGACAAAAUUAAAUUUUUGGACGCCAUUCUAAACGUGACAUCCGAUACUUUGGAUUGAAUUUAACAGGACAGUUAGGAUAUUAUCGCCGCGUGGAUUUCGCCUGUACUCUCGCGUUAAUAUUUCGCGAGUUUUCUUCUAACAUUUUUUGUACCAUAUAAAAACUCUUUUGUUGUGUGCAGAGAGUAUUAUGUUUGCACUUUAUAUUACAACGUAAGUUUAAUUCUAUUACAACUGUAUCAUAGAAAAGAAUGAUUUUUACAUGGAAAAAUCUCUUGUUGAAACAUUUGACCCUUUUUAGAAUUCUUGUUAUCGAUGUAUCAUAGUUUAUUUAAAAGCACAAAUUUUGGCAGUGACGUAUCUGCUUCAUUGGAAGAGCUUUUUCUAGAUAGAUGACGACAACGUGUAUAAAUAUAAACUAGUGACGGAAUAUGCGCGACAUUUUUGCUAAUCCUGCACAUAUAUACUAGCAUAUUUUGAUUCAUGAAUUAUUACUGAAACAAUUGUACAUUAGAAUAUUAAUUUUUACAUAUUACUCUUAAAAUCAUAAGUUUCAUUAUGUAUUUAUAAUCGAUUAGUCAGAUUAUUGAUAUAAACUCAGAUAACAUGUUUAAAAGAUGUCGUAAUAUAAUUUUAAGAUGAUUUUUAAACACAUUUGAAAAAGAUAUCUUUAUGUUUGUUUUUUGAGGACAGGAUAAGUUAUGCACGCAAUACUAACAUUAUGUGAAUUCGGAAAAGAAAUAAAACAACAUAGUGGCAAUUGUUGAAUGGCACGAUCGUAAAUUUAUAAAAUAUUAUGCCGGCCUCAAGGCAAGUUAGGGAGUGCUGUAGUCGUUUAUGACACCCAUAGAGGAUGCGACAUUGAACUUAACUCGUUAAUUGCUUCCGGUGAUUGAAAUGAACGCAAAUACAUUGUGUCGUACAAAACAGUUAAUGUAUUAAUAGAGUCCAAAAUGUCAUUUACUCA
Molecule: long non-coding RNA, 2659 nt
Organism: Monomorium pharaonis (pharaoh ant)
Lineage: Eukaryota; Metazoa; Arthropoda; Insecta; Hymenoptera; Formicidae
Exons: 2
Source: RefSeq, a predicted model, not a curated record